This 468-nucleotide ribosomal RNA is filed under the name uncultured bacterium. Its description in RNAcentral is "partial 16S ribosomal RNA". It matches the Rfam family "Bacterial small subunit ribosomal RNA", at positions 28 to 507 of the family's 1533-position model. The record is from RNAcentral.
GAUGAACGCUGGCGGCGUGCUUAACACAUGCAAGUCGAACGGAAAGGCCCAAGCUUUCUUGGGUACUCGAUUGGCGAACGGGUGAGUAACACGUGUGUGAUCUGCCCUGCACUUCGGGAUAAGCCUGGGAAACUGGGUCUAAUACCGGAUAGGACGAUGUUUUGGAUGCCAUUCUGGAAAGUUUUUUCGUUGUGGGAUGAGCUCGGGGCGUAUCAGCUUGUUGUUGGGGUAGUGGCGUACCAAGGCGUCGACGGGGAGCCGGCGUGUGAGAGUGUAGGGACACACUAGACUUGUGAGGGAGGCAGCAGUCGUGCAGGUGGCAGAAGUGGGGAAUGUUGGACAAUGCGAGCACGCGUGAGGGAGCAAGGCCGCCUGGGGGUUGAAGGCUUUUGUGUUGUAAGAACAGUUGGCUAGGGACGAAGCGUUGUUGUGACGGUACCUGGAGAAGAAGCACCGGCUAACUACGUG